GACGAACGCUGGCGGCGUGCCUAAUACAUGCAAGUAGAACGCUGAAGGAGGAGCUUGCUUCUCUGGAUGAGUUGCGAACGGGUGAGUAACGCGUAGGUAACCUGCCUGGUAGCGGGGGAUAACUAUUGGAAACGAUAGCUAAUACCGCAUAAUAGUAGAUGUCGCAUGACAUUUGCUUAAAAGGUGCAAUUGCAUCACUACCAGAUGGACCUGCGUUGUAUUAGCUAGUUGGUGAGGUAACGGCUCACCAAGGCAACGAUACAUAGCCGACCUGAGAGGGUGAUCGGCCACACUGGGACUGAGACACGGCCCAGACUCCUACGGGAGGCAGCAGUAGGGAAUCUUCGGCAAUGGACGGAAGUCUGACCGAGCAACGCCGCGUGAGUGAAGAAGGUUUUCGGAUCGUAAAGCUCUGUUGUAGGAGAAGAACGAGUGUGAGAGUGGAAAGUUCACACUGUGACGGUAUCUUACCAGAAAGGGACGGCUAACUACGUG
RNAcentral lists this ribosomal RNA (495 nucleotides) under uncultured bacterium. Its description in RNAcentral is "partial 16S ribosomal RNA". It matches the Rfam family "Bacterial small subunit ribosomal RNA", at positions 28 to 507 of the family's 1533-position model. The record is from RNAcentral.